GAUCAUGGCUCAGGACGAACGCUGGUGGCGUGCUUAACACAUGCAAGUCGAACGGAGAACUUUCUUCGGAAUGUUCUUAGUGGCGAACGGGUGAGUAACGCGUAGGCAACCUGCCCUCUGGUUGGGGACAACAUUCCGAAAGGGAUGCUAAUACCGAAUGAGAUCCUCUUUCCGCAUGGAGAGAGGAUGAAAGAUGGCCUCUACUUGUAAGCUAUCGCCAGAAGAUGGGCCUGCGU
This 236-nucleotide ribosomal RNA is filed under the name uncultured bacterium. RNAcentral's name for it is "partial 16S ribosomal RNA". It matches the Rfam family "Bacterial small subunit ribosomal RNA", at positions 15 to 236 of the family's 1533-position model. The record is from RNAcentral.